AGCGGCUGCUGGGUAACCAGGCUGUAGGAACCAGUGGAACGCGCGUGCAUCUUGUCGUCCACCAAGUGGUUCAGCUUGAGCAUGUACAUGUAACCAACGGUCACAGGACGCUCGAACUUGUUGCCGGUACGGCCGUCGAACAGCACCAUCUGGCCGCUCUCUGGCAGGUCGGCCAGUUUCAGCAUGGCCUUGAUCUCGCGCUCCUUGGCACCAUCGAAGACCGGGGUAGCCAUCGGCACGCCUUUCUUCAGGUUGUUAGCCAGGGCCAGGAUCUCUUCGUCGGUGAACUCGUCGAGGUUUUCCUGACGACCGCCGAUCUCGUUGUAGACCUCGGUCAGGAACACGCGCAGCUCAGCGGCUUUACGCUGCUCUUCGAGCAUGCGGUCGAUCUUCUCGCCCAGACCCUUGGCCGCGAGGCCCAGGUGGGUUUCAAGGAUCUGACCAACGUUCAUACGCGAAGGUACACCCAGCGGGUUCAGUACGACGUCAACCGGAGUACCGUUGGCAUCGUGCGGCAUGUCUUCAACCGGCAUGAUGACCGAGACAACACCCUUGUUACCGUGACGACCGGCCAUCUUGUCACCCGGCUGGAUGCGACGGCGGAUUGCCAGGUAAACCUUGACGAUCUUCAGUACGCCCGGUGCCAGGUCAUCGCCCUGCUGCAGCUUGCGCUUCUUGUCUUCGAACUUGUCGUCCAGCAAACGGCGACGGUCGACGAUGUACUGCUGAGCCUUUUCCAGCUGCUCGUUCAGUGCAUCUUCAGCCAUGCGCAGUUUGAACCACUGGCCGUGCUCCAGACCGUCCAGCACCUCGUCAGUGAUCACGGUGCCUUUCUUCAGGCCCGCACCACCAUCAACCACCUGGCCGUUCAGGGCAGAACGCAGACGCUCGAAGGUUGCACCUUCAACAAUGCGGAACUCUUCGUUGAGGUCCUUGCGGAUCUCGUCGAGCUGCAUCUUCUCGAUGGCCAGCGCGCGACUAUCGCGCUCUACGCCAUCACGGGUGAAGACCUGUACGUCGAUGACAGUACCCUUGGUGCCGGUUGGCCCAGGCUGUAAGAACCGGUAGAACGAGCGUGCAUCUUGUCGUCUACCAAGUGGUUCAGCUUCAGCAUGUACAUGUAGCCAACACGCAGGGAUGUGU
This 1143-nucleotide ribosomal RNA is filed under the name Pseudomonas sp. WH-05. RNAcentral's name for it is "partial 16S ribosomal RNA". The record is from RNAcentral. Lineage: Bacteria; Pseudomonadati; Pseudomonadota; Gammaproteobacteria; Pseudomonadales; Pseudomonadaceae.